GACGAACGCUGGCGGCGUGCUUAACACAUGCAAGUCGAACGGUUAACCUCGUCGGAGGGGAUCAGUGGCGAAAGGGUGAGUAACACGUGGUCAACCUGCCCCCGGCUCUGGGAUAACUCCAAGAAAUUGGGGCUAAUACCGAAUGUUCACCGCUUCGCGCAUGGGUGGUGGUGGAAAGGGUUUCCGGCUGGGGAUGGGCCCGCGGCGUAUCAGCUUGUUGGUGGGGUAGUGGCAUACCAAGGCGACGACGGGUAGCCGGCCUGAGAGGGUGACCGGCCCCACUGGGACUGAGCCACGGCCCAGACUCAUACGGGAGGCAGCGGUGGGGAAUAGUGCGCAAUGGGCGGAAGCCUGACGCAGCGCAGCAGCGUGGGGGAUGACGGCAUUCGGGUUGUAACCCUAUUCCAGCAGGGAAGAAGCGAAAGUGACGGUACCUGCAGAAGAAGCACCGGCCAACUACGUG
RNAcentral lists this ribosomal RNA (463 nucleotides) under uncultured bacterium. RNAcentral's name for it is "partial 16S ribosomal RNA". It matches the Rfam family "Bacterial small subunit ribosomal RNA", at positions 28 to 507 of the family's 1533-position model. The record is from RNAcentral.